Molecule: ribosomal RNA, 332 nt
Filed under: uncultured eukaryote
Lineage: Eukaryota
Description: partial 18S ribosomal RNA
Rfam family: Eukaryotic small subunit ribosomal RNA
Source: RNAcentral
CCCUUAGAUGUUCUGGGCCGCACGCGCGCUACACUGAUGCAUUCAACGAGCCUAUCCUUGACCGACAGGUCCGGGUAAUCUUUGAAUCUGCAUCGUGACGGGGAUAGAUUAUUGCAAUUAUUAAUCUUCAACGAGGAAUGCCUAGUAAGCGCAAGUCAUCAGCUUGCGUUGAUUACGUCCCUGCCCUUUGUACACACCGCCCGUCGCUACUACCGAUUGGAUGGCUUAGUGAGACCCUCGGACCGAUAGGCUGUCGCUGCAGCAAUGUGGCGACUGGCCCGUCUGGGAAGAAGGUCAAACUUGACUGUCUAGAGGAAGUAAAAGUCGUAACA